UGAAUAUCUACAGAUAAAAAAGUGGGUACACAUUUAAACUUAUCCAACAAUAUUUGACCCACUUCUUCCUGCUCCACCGGGUCAAUAUCCACAGGCAAAGACCCGACGUAUACACACUCUACGUCGGGUCCGAACCCGGAUUUUAACUGGAGGACUAGCGAAUCCGAGUCGUAUUCAAAUACCCAUUUGUUUGAUUCUCUAUACGCUUUGACCGGUAACUGAUUUGACACAAUUAUCCGGCGAUCUGUAACAGAUGAAACGACGUCGGAUUGCUCUGUUUCUUUUUCCAGUUUACCGGAAACGUUGUGCUCUUCAAAUUCCGAUAGGAUUCCGGGCACCGUCAUGAUUCUGGGUAUUCUAGGACGAUCAGUUACACAUGAAUAGAUGGAAUAAUCAUCGAGAUUUAACAGAUUAAACGAUGAUCUUGACAACAUUAUUUUCUCCGAGAAAAACAGAGUAUUGAAUUUUGGAUUUGGAUUUGAAUUUGAAUUUGAAGGUGGUGAAGAGGAUAAGAAUAAAGGAGUAGAGAGACCGACUUUACUUGCUGAAAUUAAUAAAGAGCCUAUAAAAAGUGGGGAAUGGGUCGGGUCAAGAUUUGACCCGGAUUGUGUGUUUGUUGAACAUCAAUUUGUUUGUUUCAUCUUCUAACUGUAACCGACUCUAUCUCCUUUUCUAUCUCUCUUUCAUCAAGUGUUCUGACUGGAUACUUUUUAUAGGUGUUGGUGUUCCAGAUAAUGUUACAAGUUUUUGUUCAUCAUGUACAACAUGUGAUGCAGGUGAGAGGGGCACUCCUCUCUUAG
RNAcentral lists this long non-coding RNA (800 nucleotides) under Helianthus annuus (common sunflower). RNAcentral's name for it is "hypothetical non coding rna". Lineage: Eukaryota; Viridiplantae; Streptophyta; Magnoliopsida; Asterales; Asteraceae. The record is from RNAcentral.